Molecule: long non-coding RNA, 334 nt
Filed under: Lathyrus oleraceus (garden pea)
Lineage: Eukaryota; Viridiplantae; Streptophyta; Magnoliopsida; Fabales; Fabaceae
Description: Pisum sativum (pea) long non-coding RNA (PSAT_LNC026009)
Source: RNAcentral
AGCCAGUUGACUUGCGAGUCCAUUCACUUGGUGGAGGUCAUGUUGGAUUAAUAAUGUCACACAAGUUAUUUGUGGUUAGGCAUUAUUCUUUCAAUCAUGUGCCGCAGAAGCCAAGGACCGUAGUUUACCAAACCCAUCUUGGCCUAUUUUUAGGAACGUAGUGCGGAGGUCGUUCAGAUGUAAGUUCUGAUGCGAUUGUUACGCGAUACUACACUCAUAAGAGUUUCUCUUGAGAAUAUUUUUGGAAUACGAGUAUUCGUUCCUCCGAUAAUAUUCGAAAGAUGGAACGAUGAUUAUGGGAACCUCUGAUAGAACAUGUCUGGCAGGUUUAAAC